RNAcentral lists this ribosomal RNA (253 nucleotides) under uncultured bacterium. RNAcentral's name for it is "partial 16S ribosomal RNA". It matches the Rfam family "Bacterial small subunit ribosomal RNA", at positions 524 to 776 of the family's 1533-position model. The record is from RNAcentral.
UACGUAGGGGGCAAGCGUUGUCCGGAAUUAUUGGGCGUAAAGCGCGUGUAGGCGGCUAUACAAGUCCGUUGUGAAAACUCGAGGCUCAACCUCGAGAUGUCGAUGGAAACCGUCUGGCUAGAGUCCGGAAGAGGAGUGUGGAAUUCCUGGUGUAGCGGUGAAAUGCGCAGAUAUCAGGAAGAACACCGAUGGCGAAGGCAGCACUCUGGGACGGUACUGACGCUGAGACGCGAAAGCGUGGGGAGCGAACAGG